Molecule: long non-coding RNA, 1246 nt
Filed under: Apteryx rowi (Okarito brown kiwi)
Lineage: Eukaryota; Metazoa; Chordata; Aves; Apterygiformes; Apterygidae
Description: lncRNA (ENSARWG00000018154.1)
Source: RNAcentral
UUCAUUUUCAUGCUUCAAUUAGGACCACUUCCUUAGAAAUGUCUUUUCUGUUUUAUAGGGGUUAAAAUUAGCAACAGACUGUUCUUUUAUCUCAUCAGCAUAAUUUAUGCAUACUGUGAAAGUGUUCCCAUUCCUGUGUUCAGCCUGCUCAUCGCUCAUUUUGAUCCAGUUGGCAGCAUUCAAAUUUCGUUAGUACACCUUGGAUUUUCAURCCAGGAUAAAUUUCUAGCAGCAAAAGAAAGAGUUCUACAAUCUGAAAGGACUGUGAAUAUUAUCUCUUGAGAGCUAGAUAACAACAAAAGUCACAAAACCUCAGAUGGAAACCAUCAUCAACAGCAAGCAUACCAGAACCAAACUCUACUUCCCUAUUAGAAGAAGAUCCUUUUGGACAGCUCACUAGUCCCAUAUGCUGGAUGUGCAGCAAAGGUUUCUCUUUGGUUCUCUUACUCAGUGCAAACAACUUCAUGCUAUGUGGCUGAGUAAUACCUGUAAUUCAGCAUCAGGAGAGUAUGAAAAAUGAGUGUAAUUAAUCCCUGGUAAUAUUUGCUAUGUAACAGGUGCAGAAUCUAAACUGGAGUUUAGGUUGGCAAGAGAUAUUGUUAACAUAAGGGUUACAAAAAGUACCUGCACACCUUACAGUGACAGCUGUAAGAUACUACAGCUAUCAAAACCCAAAAGAUGAAACCCUGGAGUUCAGAGUUAACUUGAAAAUUGAGUCUGCCAUUUAUAAAAGAUUUCAAAUGCUCAAUGGAAGUGCUCAGACUACUUUAAUUUUGCUCCAAUUUUUUGUUUGCUCCUCACAUAUGUAAAGUCAAGUUCUAGAAAUCACUAUGCAUGAAAAAAAAAUGAAGGUUUGCAGAGUCAUGUCAUGCCAGUAUAAAUUGUGUUGACCAAGGGCUUUUUCUUAGAUAUUAACAAAGUUCAGAGACUAUUGCCACCAAUAUCUCAAUUAUCUAAAUUAUCAUUGUAAAGUCUACUCUGCUGGAAUGAACUAUUCAUGGUAUCUUCUGAAGCCAGGAUGGGAAAGGAGUCCAAUCAGGAGUCCAGCCAGAACUCUGAAGGAUGCAGGACUAGUCUCAGGUAUAAAACAGAAACGGUUCUGGUCGAAUCUAAUGCCUGUGAGGUUUUCCUGGCAUACAACACAGCCCCAUCCUGCUUUAUCCUGCAUCUGGUAUGGAUAUUGUACUGUAGAUAAGCUGCACUAGCUUUAUACCCACUGCCUGCAUGAGAAUCUUCUCUGGAGAAA